RNAcentral lists this ribosomal RNA (266 nucleotides) under uncultured archaeon. Its description in RNAcentral is "partial 16S ribosomal RNA". It matches the Rfam family "Archaeal small subunit ribosomal RNA", at positions 717 to 982 of the family's 1478-position model. The record is from RNAcentral.
ACACGACUACAUUAGAUACCCCUGUAGUCCUAGCCGUAAACGAUACUCGCUAGGUGUCGGCCACGGUGCGACCGUUGUCGGUGCCGUAGGGAAGCCGUGAAGCGAGCCACCUGGGAAGUACGGCCGCAAGGCUGAAACUUAAAGGAAUUGGCGGGGGAGCACAACAACGGGUGGAGCUUGCGGUUUAAUUGGAUUCAACGCCGGAAAUCUUACCGGGACCGACAGCAACAUGAAGGCCAAGCUGAAGACUUUUGCCGGAUUAGCUG